This 1240-nucleotide long non-coding RNA is filed under the name Sus scrofa (pig). RNAcentral's name for it is "lncRNA (ENSSSCG00005018693.1)". Lineage: Eukaryota; Metazoa; Chordata; Mammalia; Artiodactyla; Suidae. The record is from RNAcentral.
CCAAAAGGCAGAGCUGCUGGCCAGGCGCCUCCCUUCCCUUGGGGGCGCCCGUGAGCUCAGCGGUCCUCAGCGGGGGCGGGGCCCAGACCCCCUGCCCCAGGCGAGGUGGGGAAGGGGGCCUGGAGCGGGCGGGACCCUUGCAACGGCCCAGCUCUUUCUAGAAAGGACUUCUAGUACAUUUGCGUUCUUUUCUCACUGCACCUGGAGCGUUCAAAGCCUCUGCUCUUCAGUUGCGGUUGUCGUUAGAAGCUGGGGCCCAGCAGGUGCUCAGCAGGGACCUGGAGCCCGUGGUUUCCCAGGGAGUCUCCUGAGGAGGGACGGAGCCCGUGUUCCUGCCCUCACAGUGCUCAGGCCGUGCAUUUAGACGUGUGGGGACACGCACCCGAGCCUGCACCCCGGCGUCUCCAUCAGGGUGGGGGGCCUGCGGGAAGGGUGGCGGUGAGGGCUCGCCCCUGCAUCCUGUGCAGAGGUGGGGCCGUUUCAGGAAGAGAGAGGGAUGGGGCCGUCCCCUUAGUCCCUUUACGGGAACUCCCUGGGGGCCCUGGCUCCCCGGCUGGCUUGCCCUGCCCUGUGGCCCCUCCCUUGGUCCUGCUACACCCCUGCCGUCGUUGGGUCCUGCCCCUUCUGGACUGAGUUACCUCCUUUGAGGGCAGAGGUGGGGCCGCAUGCUUAAGCGACUUGCCGAGGUCCCCGCCCCCACGUCUGAGGCCCUCCCUGGCCCUGCGCCUGCCAGUUGGGGACCCGACCUGUCCCUCCCCCGAGGUCAGUGGGUGCUGCCCCCAGGGGUUGGCACCCAACUGGAGCGUGCAGGGGGUACCUCUGAAGUGGGGUUUUCUGGAACCCAGGUCUUACAAGAUGUUUGCUUUUACCCGAAAAGCUGGGCGGAGAAGGCAGGCCCCGCGGUCUGAAAACCAGCAGAGGGAGUUCCCUGGUGGCCUAGCGGUUAAGGACUUGGCCUUGUCCCUGCUGUGGCGUGGGUUCGAUCCCUGGCCUGGGGACUUCUGCGUGCCACGGGCGUGACCAAAAAAUAAAUAAGUAAAUAAACCAGGGGAGCACAUUCUGAAGGAGGGCCUCCUGAGGGACACUUGGGGACGAGUGGGUCUGAGGGCAGACAGCACAGAGAGAAGCACCGAGAAAGAAGCCAUUUCCAGGGCUGAGCUGAUGGCCCCAGAUCUGGGACCUGCAGGGCAGGUGGGCGGCCCCACUUUAUUUCUAGAGGAACGUGCAGAUUCUUUUUAUU